GGCCCCGGUUCAGGGCGGCCUCGCGGGGAGAUCUCGGCGCGGGGGACCCGGGUCUCCUUCAGCGAAAUUGUAGCUGCUCUUUACACGGAAAACAGUGGUUAAGUUACAGAGGUGUGACCCAAAGUCCUCCCACUCAAGAGGACCCAUCUGUGUCCUCACCAGAGGGUCCCCAGCACACAGAGCCACAGCAGCACCACGACCCAGCACAACCCUCCAUACAGCAAAGCUGUGAGCAGAGAAGAGCUCAGAGCAGAGCCUUGGUCAGAAGUGCUAACCCUGCAUGCCUCAGCAGCCCAUAAUCAUAAAUCAUGGUGAGUCUAGAAUUACAAGUGCUGAAUACUGCUACUCAAUCCCUCUGCAGAGUACUGCCUUCAAGCCAUGAAAGAUUCCAGUUUUUUUGGGAUCUUGAGACAUCCAAAGGGGUCUGAAGGACAAAGACGGACAGACAGUCUCUUACCUAUCAUGUUUGUUCAAUACUUCAUGAAACAAUUAGGAUAUGAGGUACUUAAAAAUCACUAAUCAUUUCAGAAUAUGGACUGCUGAACCCCUGCUGGGUUAUUAUUUAUAUGACAAUAUAUUUAUGAGUGUACACAGAUUUAUAAAAAAGCAAUAAUUUAUCCAGCAGAUGCUCACUGUGAACAGGAUGAUAAUGUGUUCAGAGGUCAAACAAGUCCUCUAGUUAGAGUCCACAAGAAUGUUACCCUCUGAAACCAUGUUCAGUGAGUCCAAACGAAGCUCUGAGAAAGACCGAUUGCCAUUUUGUCUGUGAGCUCUGGGAUGUGAUGCUGGGCACUGGAAAAGCAGAUGGGUGGCCUUUGCCAAUGGGAACAGCACCCUCGAGUGGGAAAAUGAAGUUCCUCCUAGUCAGCAGGACCUGAGGUUCUCUGACACUCACACAGAAGUACUGAGACGAAUGCGUGCAAGUGGUGUUACUUGAGGUAACACCACAAACAGAACACUGGGUGCUGAGUCCUCAUCAUGUCUCUCAGCUCUUCAUGAGUUGCUGGCCAUGUGUUGCAUUUUGCAUACACCUUUCAUGCCAUUGCUCAGGCAGUGGUGGCUGCCACGGCGCUGCACCAUUCAAUGCCUCUCCUUGUGCAGGGCACCGGGAAGGGGAAGCUGCCGCCACACCUGCCCUGCUGCCCGUGGCACAGCUGGCUAGGAGUGCCCAAGUGAGCUUGCCAAAAUGAUGGUGGCUGUGGUAGCUGUAUGGCCAUACCCAGUGCUGGGAUCAGACCCUGGCAACGGCGCCUUGCCACCCCUUGGAAAAAACUUCCCACACAUAAUUUUGAUUUCCUUCUCAAAUAUGUCACCACAGAGCAUUACCAGCCUCUCAAGUUGGGCCAGCAGCAUGUCCGUCUUCAGAGCCAUCAGAGAUUAGCUCUGUCAGACACGGUAAAGCUUCUGACAGCUUCUCAGAGAAGCUACUUUUGUGGCCCUUCUCCAGUACUAAAAACUAGGCUGUGCCAAAUCAGCACAGUUGCUAGCCUCACUCUCACAGUGCUGUUGAUGCCUGCUGAUCUAUCAGACCCAUGUUUGGACAUAUGGAAGGAUCUGUGUUGUGACCCUGAGCAUGUGUCACAGCUAAAUCCCAGCUGGCAACUAAAUACCACACAGCUGCUCCUCACCCACCUCCAUCCUGCCUCUGGUGGGAAGAAUCAGAAAGAAAAGUUAAAGCUCGUGGGCUGAGAGAAGAACAGUUUAACAAUAAAAAACCCAUAAAAGAACCCCACCAAUAAUAAUAAACCCAAUACUAGUAACUGUUGUGAAAAGGAGACAGGGAUAAAAAGCAAGAGGAAAAAGUGGAGCCCAAUACAAUUGCUCACCAUCCACUGACUAAUGCCCAGCCCAUUCUUGAGCAGUAAUCAGCCUCUCCUGGGCAGCUCUCCCCUGUUUACUGUCCUAGGAUGAUGUUAUGGUGUUUGUAUCCCCAGUGUGUGUUCUGUUUCUGUUUGAUAUUCUGUUCUGUGCUUUCAGAACCGACUCUGAAAGUGAAGGUUUGUUUUGCCUUGUUAUCAG
This is a non-coding RNA of Taeniopygia guttata (zebra finch), 2019 nucleotides long. The record is from RefSeq and is a predicted model, not a curated record. Lineage: Eukaryota; Metazoa; Chordata; Aves; Passeriformes; Estrildidae.